GACACACCCCGUCCCGAAGGAGGGCGUGCUGGCCGUCACGUGAGAGUGACGUAACCAUUUACACAGUUCGGAAGCUUUAAAAAACUUUCCAAUUACUAAGAUAACACACCCGAGGGUGAGUCCUACUUUUGUGAAUUCUGUCAGAACACCGUUGGAUUCCUCGUGGCCACCAAAGCUCUGCUAACUUGAACCUGGAGGGGCGCAAAACAAAAUUGAGUGGGUCAGUAAAACAAAGUUUUUCGAAAACUUUUCAUUUAAAACAUUUCUAACCCCUCACCGUAAAACCUGUAUACUUUCCUAGAAAAUAGCAUAUAUAUAAACAUAUAUAUAAGCAAAAAUCUCAAAUCUCAAACCUUUAACACUUUUCAAAUAUAUAUAUAUAUAUAUAUAUAUAUAUAUAUAAAACCAUAUGAAAUCUCAAAGCUUGAAUCCCAAAUCUUUAACAUUUUUCAAGAAAAACAUGCCAUGCCAUAAAUCAAAAAUAUAAAUCAGGUGAAAUAAGGAAUCAAUCGGAGACCCUGCAGUUGGUCCUAUACGAUUAAUUCAAUAGCUCAAUAUCUCACUAAGCCGGAGUCACCACAGUGACCUAUACGGCCCUACUCUGCACAUCACUCGGAACUACGUAAGGUAGUCUAUACGAUGAAAGGUGUAAAAUACGCUCUAGUGCUUCUCUCAUCAUAUCAUCAGCGCGCAUAUCUAAGGUCACCCACCAGUCGGAACCCCUCUAAUGGUCUGUACGACUGGCAUGUCGGAACCCUCACAUGGUCUGUACGACAUCCACCUACUUGGAUCCAAGGCGAGCGUGCGGUGUGGUGAAUAAUAUAAGCACUAACACCUAGGGUGCAGGUUAUGAGCUCAAAACAUCUCAACAACAACAAUUCAAUGAAUAAAUGAACUCACCUGACUUACCUGUGCCUCCACAGCACCAUGUAACAUGUAUGCAUCAUAUAUCAAUCAUGUAAUUCAUAUAACAAUUCACAUUUUCAAAUAAUUCUAUGCAUGGCAUUUUUAAAGCAUAUCUUCAUAUAAAUUCAUUUUCUGGGAAAAAUCAAUAGUAUAAAGGUAAUACAAAAACAAAACUGCCCACUCACCUGGAGUUCGCCCAACAACUCCCUAGCACCACACAUCAAGGCAUCAUGAAGAUUAGCGCCUAGAACAAUAAUCAAACCCAACCUCAGAAAUCAUGCCGAUAGAAUACAUAACUUAUAUAAGACACGUCACUACGUAAUUCGAUCCGGAUGAUCUGCAACUCAGAUUUCAAAUCCGUAACUUCCAGAGGUCCACAAUAUACCUCUAGGACAACAUCUUAAAAUUUCAUUACCAUCCAACGGUCGGAUCUCCGUCAAUUUCCAAAACUAAGUGACGGUUAACAUUCUAUUUUAUGAACUUACAACUUCAAUUCCGGAAGAUCCGUAAAUCGGAUUCUCAAUCCGUAAGUUCCUAUAAUCCUCAAAUAUUACGUAUUACAACGUAUCAAAGUUUGGUGACGGUCCAACGGUCGGAUCGUCAAUUCACAUUUUCACCUAACCACGAAUCGUAACCAACUUAGGUUCAAUUAUUCAAUUUACGUCCAUCAAUUAUCAAAACAGAACCUAGAACCUUAAUCACAAGCUAAUAAUGACAUUGGCGGGCCAUUGGCCACGCACCGCCGCGCGGGCCGCCGCGGGUGGCGGUUGGCCGCCCCGGCUCGCCGGAAAAUUCAACUAUUUCCAAAAAUUACUAAAAUUUGCAGAUUUGAAGAUCUCAAUGAGUAGAACAACUUUCAUACCUGAGGCCAAGGCCAAUUUGGCCUGGAAGUGCUUCAAUUUCACCAAAACCGUGAAGAACCCUAGAAUUGGGUGUUUCCAAUUCGACCUUCAAACUUGUUCCAACGCCUCAAUUACCUCUUGGGCUUUGUUUUAGGUCCUAAGGGAAUGCUAAUGGUGUUAGUAAUUGAAAGAAAACAUUUCAAAAUUUGGAGAAUUUAAACAAAAGGGUCGCGGCACCCGUAGGGGUGUUCUUCGCGAAAUCACAACGAAAUUCAAUGAUUCUUGGGGUGAAACGUGAAGAGGGAAGGCCUAGAUGAUGAUUAGGAGUGGUACCUUGAUUCAAUUCGUCGGAAAAUUGGACGAAAAUGGCGAAAACCCGCCGAUUGGAAGUCGCGGGUCGCGCGGGUAUACGGGUUGGGGAAAACCCAUUUCUUCCUUCUCUCCUCCGCUUCUCGCCCUCUCUCCUUUCCUCCUUUCCUUCCUCUAGUUGGUCAGCUUCUCCCUCUCUCUUCUCCCCAUUCGGUCUC
RNAcentral lists this long non-coding RNA (2275 nucleotides) under Malus domestica (apple). RNAcentral describes it as "long non-coding RNA (MDOM_LNC003912)". Lineage: Eukaryota; Viridiplantae; Streptophyta; Magnoliopsida; Rosales; Rosaceae. The record is from RNAcentral.